GCAGCAGUGGGGAAUAUUGGGCAAUGGAGGCAAGUCUGACCCAGCGACGCCGCGUGCGGGAUGAAGGCCUUCGGGUUGUAAACCGCUUUCAGCAGGGAAGAAGCGAAAGUGACGGUACCUGCAGAAGAAGCACCGGCUAACUAUGUGCCAGCAGCCGCGGUAAUACAUAGGGUGCAAGCGUUGUCCGGAAUUAUUGGGCGUAAAGAGCUCGUAGGUGGUUCGUUACGUCGGAUGUGAAAAUCUGGGGCUCAACCCCAGACCUGCAUUCGAUACGGGCGAGCUAGAGUUUGGUAGGGGAGACUGGAAUUCCUGGUGUAGCGGUGGAAUGCGCAGAUAUCAGGAGGAACACCAAUGGCGAAGGCAGGUCUCUGGGCCAAUACUGACACUGAGGAACGAAAGCGUGGGGAGCGAACAGGAUUAGAUACCCCCUGGUAGA
RNAcentral lists this ribosomal RNA (436 nucleotides) under uncultured bacterium. RNAcentral's name for it is "bacterial SSU rRNA". It matches the Rfam family "Bacterial small subunit ribosomal RNA", at positions 348 to 794 of the family's 1533-position model. The record is from RNAcentral.